Acanthopagrus latus (yellowfin seabream) is the source of this 3548-nucleotide long non-coding RNA. RefSeq lists it as uncharacterized. Lineage: Eukaryota; Metazoa; Chordata; Actinopteri; Spariformes; Sparidae. The transcript has 3 exons. The record is from RefSeq and is a predicted model, not a curated record.
ACCUAUCGCUCCUCAUGCAGAGUCAUGUUACACACCCACAGCUUUGAUACGCCCACCCCAACACAGCUACAGACUAAAACCACUGGAGCAGCUGGUUUCUGUUUCUAGCGGUUCAAACUAUUUUGGGAAAAUCCAAGCUCACCCUUCCAGGGAAAAGGGAGGAAUUCUCUUUUUUUUCUCUUCUUCCUCAACCACAGAGAACAGAGCAGCUUCUAUCUACCGACCGCAAACACAUCUUUUUCUCUUGGAGCUGAUCCUCCUCCUAUAAGUAUGAAGGCAGCGGGGACGAGGAAUGUUUUUAUAACAAUGGCAGUAUGGAGACAAAUGCGAUUACAAUGACUACCCAUGCCUGGGCCUUUCUCAUUUAUACAUUAACCAUAUGUCGCAGCUAAUUCUCUUGGAGAAUGUGUGCUUGCGUGCAAACCCAGGGGCUCCACAUUCGCAGCAGUUUACGUUGGCUUUUGGGUCGAAUUGCUCGCAUGAAGAUACAUUUCUGUGGGUUCAGGAGGUUUAUGAAGGGCCAGGCUGCCUUCCCAACACGUCCGCUUUUAGGUGAGAAGUCCAAGGACUUAUGAAGCCUGGCACAAUGUGCUAACCACAUUAGUGAUGCCACAUUAGCAGCAUGAGCCCAUCCAUCCCCCUCUCUCUGUUUUCCACUGUAUACACCCUUCUUCCUCUUUUACAUUCCCUCCAUCUCGUACAGUCGUUCUCCCGUUAUGAUUUACUGUCCCUCACUAUCCAGUAACUCUUUUUUUUUCUCUCUCCCUCUGGGAAGAUUUAGGUAUGAGUCACUCAUGAAGGAUUCCAGGAGCCUCCGAGCGGUGCUACCCACUGAGGGAAAUGACCACGGGGAUCGAUCUGCCAACAAGCAGAUCGAUCGCUAAAAGAUUGUUUCCCACACACGCUGGCACAGACCGGACUAUUCACGGAGAUGUCCUAUUACUCUUGCGGCGAUAAAGGAAUGUGAACAGUUCAACUGCUUAGAUUGGAUUGUCCGAGCUUGUAGUCUUUAAGAUGAGUGUCACUGUCACGCCAACAUUUCUGAUUACAUAAUGUAAAAAAAUAUGGAUAAGAUUCAAGACAGAACAAUGACAAAAGUUAGACAAAAGGCUGAGGAUUAUUAAUAACAUUUUCCCACAGUCGCACGACAGCUAUAGAAAGAGUAAUUAGGCGGAGGAGAUUGUAAUCUAUUUUAGCAUGUAGAUAUGAAUAGUAGGAUAAUUGGGUCCCAGAGAUUAUGGAAAUAAAACGAGAGCGAGAGCUAAAUGAGAAAAUAUGUUCGGUUUUCACAUUCCCCCUCUGUCUCUGCAGAGACACCUGAGCCUGCCAGCAGCACGCUCACAAAGAUUCAAAUCAUUUUUCAUGCAAAUUGCGGGUUUUUACGUCAGCGUGAUGAUUCCGUGCUGGUGACGGGGAGCAUGCAUAAGCAUGUGAUUAACAUUUAAAGAGAGAGCUGGAGAGCCAAGUGGUCACCACAUGAAGCUGCUCGUCUGAUCUCCAGAGGUUUGCUGCUGGAUGCACACACAUCUCCGGGUGUGUUUAGAGGAAAGCACACUCCUGAAUGGCCUGUGCAUCAACAGCAACAACACAGCAUAUUUUCACUGUCUGUUUAUCUGCAAGCCUUUCUCCAGCUCUCCUGUAUGUCACUUCAAGGCAGUAACCUGAGGAGCCCAUCACGCCGAGUGGAUCAAACACAAAUGGCAGGAAGCGGUGCCAGAGCGGCAGCGCGUGGGGGCCACACGACCUGGCACACAACUGUCACGACGACGCAGCUAUUCCAGUGAAAAGACGGAGGGCGCUUCAACUGACGUCACGGUGGUUUGAGUCAAGAGCAGAGGCUUGAUGAAAACUCAUAUUCCACCCCAGAGCCACAUAGCAGAAACUUGACCUAACUUGCUCGCCUUCAAUCAGCAAGUCCCAUCUGGCUUCCGAGCACCUGAGGAAUGUGGCCUACCUUUAGCAAAAAAAAAACCACGACACCGAUGCGGAACUAAAUGUUCUGUAGCUCCUGAGAAAUGUGUCAUUUUCAUGUGUAAUGCUGUAAGAAGAAGUGCUGCUGAAUUAUGCAGAGAACAUGAGGAAAUGUUUAUUUUCUCCAGCUCACUCACAGCUCUCAUUGUGCUCCUUCUGUUAGGUGUUUGCCUCAUAUUGUUAUUGGCUUCUGUUCAGGCCUCACGUCCUGGUAACCCACAUACCAUGUGUGUGCAUGUCAACAUUUCCCAAAGCUAGGGCAUUGAUGGAAAAGUUUUUCACCUACGCUCUCUGUUUACAUGGAUAACAGUGUUUCGCCUUGUGUAAGUAAUGCCAUCAGUUUGCACAUGGCUGGCUUCUGAAUGUAAGCAGAUCGAAGGGAGAAAUUACACGGCAAAAACGCGUAUAACAUAAGGACGAGUGUCUCCUCUUUCAUUCACAAUGUAUUCUCGUAGCCGAUAUUAAAAAAGGUGCAAUAUGUAGUUUUGGGGAAGACAUUUUGGUUGGAAGAAAAAGAAAGAAACUAAAUAAACUCUCUUUGUUUUCAUGACAGAGUACACUGAAGAAGCAAUCUCGUGCUGUUUUACUGUUUAUAUUUGGCGGACCCUGCCACCUUUUCUAGCUCCGAACAGUGUUCAGGAACCUUGUUAUCCUCAGAGAUCAGCUUGUUCAUUCAGUUGAAGAAAAGGUUACCAUUUCUGAGUUUAAUUUUUAUUGUCAGCAUUAAAAAUCUGAGUUUGGAUUUAAUCUUCAAAAAUGACACAGUGACCCUUUAAAGGAGAUAUGUCAGUUUACCAAAAUAAAAGCCUGUGGUGGAGCCUUUUCUAAUUGCAUGUCACCGAUAUUUUUACUCCUUCAUUAUAGUCAUUUCCUGUGUUUGUUACGCAAGAUACUUUUUUUUAAAAUCAGUCUUACUCUUGAACUUGACUCGAGGACAACACAUAUUGGCUUCCAGACACAGAAAAAGCAGAUCAAUUCAGCCACUCCUUAACUUCAGAAAACAAACAAACAAAACAAAACAAAAAACAAGGGUUGCACCUUUAAAUACCCUAAAAUAACUUGACUCAACAAACUUUUCAGCCAACAGUUACUCCGGCCUGGCCCCCCUCAUGACCCAUGGGCCUUUUUUUCUCACUGGGGCUAGACAAGAGGAAAUGUGGCAUUGUUGGAAGGAUUUAGUCAAUACAAAUGGUCUAUAGUGGCGACUGAAUGGAUCCAAUGCCAACAAUGGAGAGAGAGAGAGGGGAGGGGGUAGAAAAGGAGAGAGUGGAAAAAAAAAACCUAACGCGUUUUAAUCCUGACAACAAAAAUGGUACAUAUCUGAAGUUAAAACACAAACUGGCUGUUAAUUUUCAGAUAUCCAGGCUGGUUUCCUUCAUUUUUCUACCGUUGCGGUGCGUUCACUGACCCAGAGUUGACAGUUGGGCUGUUAGCACAGGAGGGGAGUAUGCUAGCGAUGCGGAAUUGAAACUCCCCAACAGUUUAUAGCUGACAACAAAAUACAAAACAAUUCAAAUAACCGACACCAGUAUGAGCAUUCACACUGUUGCCCCAGUGUUGUAGGCGAAGUUCGUCCA